This 497-nucleotide ribosomal RNA is filed under the name uncultured bacterium. RNAcentral's name for it is "partial 16S ribosomal RNA". It matches the Rfam family "Bacterial small subunit ribosomal RNA", at positions 28 to 507 of the family's 1533-position model. The record is from RNAcentral.
GACGAACGCUGGCGGCGUGCCUAAUACAUGCAAGUUGAGCGCUGAAGGUUGGUACUUGUACCAACUGGAUGAGCAGCGAACGGGUGAGUAACGCGUGGGGAAUCUGCCUUUGAGCGGGGGACAACAUUUGGAAACGAAUGCUAAUACCGCAUAAAAACUUUAAACACAAGUUUUAAGUUUGAAAGAUGCAAUUGCAUCACUCAAAGAUGAUCCCGCGUUGUAUUAGCUAGUUGGUGAGGUAAAGGCUCACCAAGGCGAUGAUACAUAGCCGACCUGAGAGGGUGAUCGGCCACAUUGGGACUGAGACACGCCCCAAACUCCUACGGGAGGCAGCAGUAGGGAAUCUUCGGCAAUGGACGAAAGUCUGACCGAGCAACGCCGCGUGAGUGAAGAAGGUUUUCGGAUCGUAAAACUCUGUUGGUAGAGAAGAACGUUGGUGAGAGUGGAAAGCUCAUCAAGUGACGGUAACUACCCAGAAAGGGACGGCUAACUACGUG